AGAGUUUGAUCCUGGCUCAGGGUGAACGCUGGCGGCGCGCUUAAUGCAUGCAAGUCGAGCGAGAAGCCGGCUUCGGCCGGUAGAGAGCGGCAGACGGCUGAGUAACGCGUGAGUAACUUGCCCUCCGGUGGGGUAUACACUCGGGAAACUGAGGAUAAUCCCGCAUACGACCCGGUCCCCUUGGGGAUCAGGUGAAAGGCUUCGGUCGCCGGAGGAGAGGCUCGCGUCCUAUCAGGUAGUUGGUGGGGUAAAAGCCUACCAAGCCGAUGACGGGUAGCUGGUCUGAGAGGAUGACCAGCCAGAGGGGGACUGAGACACGGCCCCCACUCCUACGGGAGGCAGCAGCAGGGAAUCUUGGGCAAUGGGCGAAAGCCUGACCCAGCGACGUCGCGUGGAGGACGAAGGCCUUCGGGUUGUAAACUCCUUUUCCGAGGGAAGAUUUCGGACGGUACCUCGGGAAUAAGCCCCGGCUAACUACGUGCCAGCAGCCGCGGUAAUACGUAGGGGGCAAGCGUUACCCGGAAUUACUGGGCGUAAAGUGCGCGUAGGCGGUUGGAUAAGUCUCUUGUGAAAGCUCCCGGCUCAACUGGGAGAGGUCAAGGGAUACUAUUCGACUAGAGGACAGCAGAGGUAAGCGGAAUUCCCGGUGUAGCGGUGGAAUGCGUAGAUAUCGGGAGGAACACCAGCGGCGAAAGCGGCUUACUGGGCUGUAGCUGACGCUGAGGCGCGAGAGCGUGGGGAGCAAACUGGAUUAGAUACCCAGGUAGUCCACGCCCUAAACGAUGGAUACUAGGUAUGGGGGGUAUUGACCCCCUCCGUGCCGUAGCUAACGCGUUAAGUAUCCCGCCUGGGGACUACGGCCGCAAGGCUAAAACUCAAAGGAAUUGACGGGGGCCCGCACAAGCGGUGGAGCGUGUGGUUUAAUUCGAUGCUAAGCGAAGAACCUUACCUGGGCUUGACAUGUUGGUAGUAGCGCGCCGAAAGGCGUCGCGAUCCCGGGGUAACUCGGGAAGCCUUCACAGGUGCUGCAUGGCUGUCGUCAGCUCGUG
This 1049-nucleotide ribosomal RNA is filed under the name uncultured bacterium. RNAcentral describes it as "bacterial SSU rRNA". It matches the Rfam family "Bacterial small subunit ribosomal RNA", at positions 8 to 1064 of the family's 1533-position model. The record is from RNAcentral.